Symphalangus syndactylus (siamang) is the source of this 3071-nucleotide long non-coding RNA. RefSeq lists it as uncharacterized. NCBI's taxonomy places the organism in Eukaryota, Metazoa, Chordata, Mammalia, Primates, Hylobatidae. The record is from RefSeq and is a predicted model, not a curated record.
GGCUGAUUUCUGGGUGGUGUGACUUAAAGGGGAAGGCAUCUAGGGUUGGAUAGACAGGUGGACAGACAGGCAAACACACAUAGACGCCUCCCUCCAAAUGCAGGAAGGCCUGGGCCCCAUGUUGGCCAAAGCCACUGCUGUCAAGUUCUCACCCUGCAGGCCGAGAGUGCAAGUUGCUCCCAGGCUCUAGAGCCCGGAGGAGGCUCUGGCUGGGGAACCCUGUGGCUGCUCAGUGCCCACCCCACCUCCUCAUUCUGUCUGGCCCCCACUUUCAGGACCCUCGAAAGAGAGGGAAAGGUUGGGCGCAGUGGCUCACGCCUGUAAUCCUGGCACUUUGGGAGGCUGAGGUGUGAUCACCUGAGGUCAGGAGUUCGAGAAGAGCCUGGGCAACUUGUGAAACCCCAUCUCUACCAAAAAAAAAAAAAAAAAAAAAAAAAAAAAAAUCAGCUGGGUGCAGUAGCAUGCGCCUGUGGUCCCAAUUACUUGGGAAGCUGAGGUGGGAGGAUUGCUUGAACCUGGGAUGCAGAGGUUACAGUGAGCUGAGAUUGCACCACUGCACUUCAGCUGAGGCAACGGAGCGAGACCCUGUCUUAAAGAAAAAAAAAAAUGAAAAACAAAAACAAAAAAAAGAGAGACAAGGAAAGUUAAAAUUCCCCUUCUGUCCUAAUUCCCUCUUUUCUGCCCAGUUCUCUCCCCCACCAAACCUGUUUCUACAGGCGGAAUCCAAGCAGCCAGUAGUGGUGGUGGUGUGUUUUUUGAAUACCCACCUGGGGCCAGGCUCUGUGCUAGGUUCUUUGUACAUGUGAUCAUCUUGAUUCUUUGCCACAAAAAGAUAUUGGUCUGGGCUGGAGGUCAACGAAAUUGUUCUGUAAAGAGCCAGAUAGAAAUAUUUCAGGCUUUGUGGGCCCUGUGGUCUCUGUUGCAACUAUUCAGCCCUGUUGCUGAAGUGCAAAGCAGCCAUGGACAAGAGGUAAACACAUGGGUCUGGCUGUGUUCCAGUUAAAACUUGAAUUACAUAUUACAAAAAUAGAUGGCAGGCCAGAUUUGGGGUGGAGGCCGUCAUAGGCUGACUCCUGGUUUGGUUUCCUUGUUGUUUCUGAGAGCUGGCAAGAGGCCUUCUAUAGGCUUAAUGGAAUGAUGGUUGUCUUUUUAUCCCUUCUGGGGUAGAAUAGCAGUUACGAGUAUGGGUUCUGAGUCCUUCUCGCUGAGUUUGAAUCCAGCUGUUGAGUACUAGUUUGGGCAAAGCACUUACCAUUCUAUGCUUCAAUUUCCAUGUUAAAAAAUAGAGGUGAUAACUGUGUGCACCUCACAGGGCGGUUGUGAUGAUUAAAUGAGAUGCCAUUACAGCAAGUGCUUAACCCUGCACCUGGCAUAGAGUAACUGUUCAGUCAAUAAGAUCGAUUUUUUUUUUCUUUUUUUCUUUUCUUUUUUUUUGAGAUGGAGUCUUGCUCUGUCGCCCAGGCUAGAGUGCAAUGGCAGGAUCUUGGCUCACGGGAGCCUCCACCUCCCGAGUUCGAGCAAUUCCCCUGCUCAGCCUCCCGAGUAGCUGGGAUUACAGGCACCUGCCAUCAUGCCCGGCUAAUUUGUGUAUUUUGGUAGAGAUAGGGUUUCAAUACUUUGGCCAGGCUGGUCUUGAACUCAUGACCUCAGGUGAUCCUCCCUCCCCAACCUCCCAAAGUGCAGGGAUUAUGGGCAUGAGCCACCGCGCCCAACCCGAUUGGUUAUUUUUAUUGCAUUUACUGCGGAUGUCCUUCGAGCUGAGUGGAGGUGUUGCUCUGAGACAAUGAAAUUAUGGACGUCUUUUCCCACUCGGAGAAAACCUUUCAAUGAAGGCAUAUGGUUUCUCCAUAGCAGUGUUCCCCACAUAGGGCCCUAGCCCUUCUAAGUGCCAGCCUCCAUCAGGCAGGUGGAAGGAGCCUGUAUUAACAGACACUGUGCAGUGGCUGCUUACACUCUGCUUUGAGAGUUUGCUUUCAUUUGCAGGAAUAAGUGCUUAUGGUUGUGAGCUGAUAGUCAUUCAUCGAACAUUAUCUCAUUCGUGAGUAGAGGAAGUUUUUUUCUGGUUAAAAUAGGCCUGGAAUCAUCUAACACCUAUAGGGCUAGAACUCUGUAAUCAAAUAUUAAUGCAGUAAUGUUUUCACAGCAAAAGGCAUCCUUAUUGGUAUUAAGAGGGGUUUAAGAAAAUGAUUGCAGGCAGCAUUCGUUCGAAUGGUUCAGAUUUUGCCGUCAGUUAUGUUUUGAUACCAACUUACUAGGUAGUCUUUGUUCUAAAAGCUUUUUAGCUGUUGUUUUCUAGUAAGGGUGUGUGGAUCAGGAUCGGGGAGUGAGCUGGGUCCACGCUUUCCAGGAGUCAUGAGGCUAUGAUUGACCUGAGCUGGAGCAUGGUUAAGGAUUUUAUUUUUCACAUUGUCAGUGUAUUUUCACAUUUACCUUCAUUUCUAUUGAGUGACGUGAUUUCCUAUUUAUGGAAGUGACAUAGCUGUCUUUAGAAUAAUUUUGUUUCAUAGUAAAUGCCAUGCAUAAGCCUCAGAUGGAUUCUUGGUGGGAAAAACCCCAUCUAUACAGUGUAUUUCUUGGAUAACUGGGGAAAUUUGAGUAUGUCUAAUGAUCAGUAUGUCUAAUGAUCAUUAUUUAAAGAUAGUUUCCUGAGGUGAUAUGGUGUGGUGAUGUCGGGGGAUGUUCUUAAGACAUACCUGUGGGGGAUGUCUGCGCCUCAUUUCAGAUGGUUCAGGAGGAAAUGUAAAUAUGUGUAUAAAUGAAAUAUAAAUAUAGGCUGGGCACAGUGGCUCAUGCCUAUAAUCUCAGCACUUUCGGAGGCUGAGGUGGGUGGAUCAACUGAAUUCAGGAGUUUGAGACCAGCCUGGCCAACAUGGUGAAACCCUAUCUUUACUAAAAAUACAAAAAAUUAGCUGGGCAUGCUGGCAGACACCUGUAAUCUCAGCUACUCAGGAGGCGAGGCAGGAGAAUUGCUUGAACUUGGGAGUUGGAGGUUGCAAUGAGCUGAGGUUGCGCCAUUGCACUCCAGCCUGGGCAAUGAGUGAAACUCCAUCUGCAAAAGAAAAAUAAAUAAA